AGUGAACGCUGGCGGUAGGCCUAACACAUGCAAGUCGAACGGCAGCACAGUAAGAGCUUGCUCUUACGGGUGGCGAGUGGCGGACGGGUGAGGAAUACAUCGGAAUCUACUUUUUCGUGGGGGAUAACGUAGGGAAACUUACGCUAAUACCGCAUACGACCUACGGGUGAAAGCAGGGGAUCUUCGGACCUUGCGCGAUUGAAUGAGCCGAUGUCGGAUUAGCUAGUUGGCGGGGUAAAGGCCCACAAAGGCGACGAUCCGUAGCUGGUCUGAGAGGAUGAUCAGCCACACUGGAACUGAGACACGGUCCAGACUCCUACGGGAGGCAGCAGUGGGGAAUAUUGGACAAUGGGCGCAAGCCUGAUCCAGCCAUACCGCGUGGGUGAAGAAGGCCUUCGGGUUGUAAAGCCCUUUUGUUGGGAAAGAAAAGCAGCAGGUUAAUACCCCGCUGUUCUGACGGUACCCAAAGAAUAAGCAACGGCUAACUUCGU
RNAcentral lists this ribosomal RNA (491 nucleotides) under uncultured bacterium. RNAcentral's name for it is "partial 16S ribosomal RNA". It matches the Rfam family "Bacterial small subunit ribosomal RNA", at positions 29 to 506 of the family's 1533-position model. The record is from RNAcentral.